UAGGUUUCAGAGUUUGAGAUGAAGAGGGGAAAUUCUUACCUUUUUCAGACUGUGUAUAGACUUGCCCAGGCGUUCCAAAGAUGGAAAAGCUUUGCUCUUGUGAAGUAUCCUGGAACCCCAAAAGCUCCAAAACGGAAGUCAGCCAGAGAGAGGAAGAGGCAACGCCGGGUCUCAAAGAUCCAUAUCGCAGUGGAACUUGGGAGCUGGAAGGAGAAGAAAAGCACCUUCUCCAGCCAUCAAGGUGAGGGCUCACGGCAAAAUUAAGGAAGAGGUGAGACAAAGAGAGUUCUGGGCCCAGGCAUUUCUCACCUGAAUUGCAGCACAGCAGGGGUUAUUUCAGACCUAGGAGAAACUCUUGCAUAUUGUGCAGUCUUGGACCUUGAUUAAACAAAGCAUUUGACUUGAUUUCAGCCACUGGCAUAACAGCACCAGUGCAAACCCCUUGUGCAAAUGGGCAAAGCUGAUCUAAAUCACAGUUUGCACCAGUGCCUGCUGAGCCCCAAUUUCAAGAAUAAGUAAAUUGCACCGAUGCAAAUCAUGAUCUUUAUCUGUCUACACUAUGGGUUUGCAUCACCACAGUUACCCAUGGCUAAAAAUCAGCGCAAAUCCCCCAGGGCAGACAAAGCCUCAGUGGGAAGUAGGGAGCGGACAAGAUUUUAGAUAGAGAUUAAUGAUGCAGAGAUCUGGACUGAUCUGCAACUCCAGGCCACUGUGCUAGCCCCUUGCUGUGCAAUGCUUUUUAACCUUUCGCAUCAGGCCAACCAAACUGAGUUAACCCACUACCCAGCCAGCAAACGUGGGUGUUCACUAUUUGCCUGCUGUAGAAGACGGGUCUAUUUUCACCUGGACACAACAUGUAACGUCAUCCGCUAGUAAUUUGGAUUUUCUCUCUUCACUUUUUUUUUUUUUAAAUCUAGGUCACCAGAAAAGUUCUUGUUCCA
Dermochelys coriacea (leatherback sea turtle) is the source of this 941-nucleotide long non-coding RNA. RefSeq lists it as uncharacterized. The record is from RefSeq and is a predicted model, not a curated record. Lineage: Eukaryota; Metazoa; Chordata; Testudines; Dermochelyidae. The transcript is spliced from 2 exons.